This 165-nucleotide ribosomal RNA is filed under the name Schizophyllum commune. RNAcentral describes it as "5.8S ribosomal RNA". It matches the Rfam family "5.8S ribosomal RNA". Rfam says of the family: 5.8S ribosomal RNA (5.8S rRNA) is a component of the large subunit of the eukaryotic ribosome. It is transcribed by RNA polymerase I as part of the 45S precursor that also contains 18S and 28S rRNA. Functionally, it is thought that 5.8S rRNA may be involved in ribosome translocation. Lineage: Eukaryota; Fungi; Basidiomycota; Agaricomycetes; Agaricales; Schizophyllaceae. The record is from RNAcentral.
AACUUUCGACAACGGAUCUCUUGGCUCUCGCAUCGAUGAAGAACGCAGCGAAAUGCGAUAAGUAAUGUGAAUUGCAGAAUUCAGUGAAUCAUCGAAUCUUUGAACGCACCUUGCGCCCUUUGGUAUUCCGAGGGGCAUGCCUGUUUGAGUGUCAUUAAAUACCAU